ACCACGAGUCACCAACCUGUCCAGGACUACCUGACAUGAUUAACUGCCCAAAACAACAAGAGGCUGGACAGGAGAAGAAAGGACGAGAGACUAAACCUGAGCAAUAGAGAGACCGAAAGGAGAGGAGAAGAGAGGUUACAGACUCACAACCAUGAUCCUUUCCAAUCACUCUUUUCAUUCAUUUUUCUGCUGCUGCUGUUCUGUAGAAUCCAGAGAGAUCAGCACCCAUGUCAGCCUGGAUAGUGGAUCUGGAUCUCUGUGUUUUCACACUAGGAGGCACCCGGGACAUGCUAACAGGACGGAUCGGUCCAGGAGGAAGCUGCCUCCCC
Long non-coding RNA from Oncorhynchus gorbuscha (pink salmon), 329 nucleotides. RefSeq lists it as uncharacterized. The transcript has 4 exons. The record is from RefSeq and is a predicted model, not a curated record. Lineage: Eukaryota; Metazoa; Chordata; Actinopteri; Salmoniformes; Salmonidae.